Molecule: long non-coding RNA, 406 nt
Organism: Varanus komodoensis (Komodo dragon)
Lineage: Eukaryota; Metazoa; Chordata; Lepidosauria; Squamata; Varanidae
Exons: 3
Source: RefSeq, a predicted model, not a curated record
UUCGGUGCAUUCCUCAGCGGGUUCAGCCACGCUACCCCAGACGGGGAUCACGGCACGUGAGGUCGGGUGUGGUGGCCGGGAUAGCAGAAGGCUUGCUCGGUAUAGCCGAGGAGAAACAAUGUCGACGUUCCUUCUGGUCGGUACUUGAGUCGCAUGUAGCACCCCGCCCACUUGCACCGUCGGUGGAGCUGCAGCAGGGCACCCGCCCUCUCUUGCAUGCUGGCAUAAUGAGAACGCCGACGACUGUGAUGGGAUGUUCUGCAGACUGUAUUGUUUAGGAGCUGCUACUGUCCUUUAAAGAAUUUCAGAACCGAUGCAGAUACCAAACUCUGUGAGAGAAUUGUCUUGCAGCAGCUAUGAGUAACGAGGUUCAUGCAGAAGCAAGCCAGAGAAGAACCUUUCCAUU